CCCUUAGAUGUUCUGGGCCGCACGCGUGCUGCACUGAGUGGAUCAGCGGGUCAGGUUGCGCGAAAGUGUUUCCUAAUCUUGAAAUCCGCUCGUGAUGGGGAUUGACGGUUGCAAUUUUCCGUCAUGAACGAGGAAUACCUUGUAAGCGCGGGUCAUCAUCCCGCGCUGAAUACGUCCCUGCCCUUUGUACGCACCGCCCGUCGCUCCUACCGAUUGAGUGGUCCGGUGAGGCUUUGGGAUCUGAGCGGAAAGAGCGUUUCGCUGUUUCUGCUCGGAAAACUCAGUCGAACCUUAUCAUUUAGAGGAAGGAGAAGUCGUAACA
RNAcentral lists this ribosomal RNA (322 nucleotides) under uncultured eukaryote. RNAcentral's name for it is "partial 18S ribosomal RNA". It matches the Rfam family "Eukaryotic small subunit ribosomal RNA", at positions 1470 to 1796 of the family's 1831-position model. The record is from RNAcentral.